UUAGACCUUAUUUAAGGGCUGACUGCCACUGGGGAAAGAUCUCUUUCUGCAGAUCCCUUCUUGGUGAAGCUUUCCCCUGUGAAUCUGGAAUCUUCUGUUGUAGGUGAGCAAUCUUCUUCCCUUCCUUUGUAGUACCUUUCUGUUGUGCCAGUCCUUCCAUCAUCACACCUUUGUUGUAACACCUUUCCUAUCGUAUUGAUCUAAUAGCUGCAGCAGGGAACAAUCUGUAAUUAUGUAAUUUGAAACAAAAAGCAUGGAGGCCUGGCUCCUCUUCAGUCCUCAAGUCUUGAAUACUCAGACUUGCAUAUUAUGAAGAUUCAUGGCUUCAAAUUUACUCUGAACUACUGAAGUGAGUGUCAUUCUUAACUAAGUCAUCCAGUAGUUAAACACACCACAAAAUCAUCUGCGUGUUUAAUGUAGAGCAGAGAAUUUCUAUGGAGAAAUCUAUAGCUUUUAAUUCAGUGAUGAAUCAUUUAUGGGAUUUUGGAUUAUUCACUUUGCACUGAAUUGAGUUGUCUCUUUCACAAAGACCACCCCCCCAACGUGCUCUGUGUCACAGACUGAGCCUCGUGGUGAUGUAUGUUGCUGGGAUGAAUUAUUUAUUGGAUGUUUUAAAUCACUUGUUCGGUGGUGAACUAAGUCAGUUAAUUUUAAAUCUGUUCAUAUCCAUUCUUAAGUGCACAAAAUGACUUUACGUACACAAUAUUCAUUUCUCUUUCUUCUUUCCUUUUGUGUACAAUAAUGAAUUAUCCAUGAGGUUUGGGUUGAGCUAGUUUUGAAUGUGAUCAGACUUUCCUUUGAGGGAGGCAGUGACCUGUCCUGGGGGUUUGCCCCACUUGUUCUUGGGCCUGGUGUGCAGCAGGUGUGUGCACGAGCCUAUCAACUCUCAGCUGCAUCUUAUUUCAAAAACACAGGGAAGGGAUCACUAUUUCUUAGCCUGUAGUGCACAAGAUGCAGUUCUCUCAAUCCUCAAGAAGUUCAGCAGUGGACUUCUCAAUGGAUUGUAUCAAUAGUAUUGAGAGCAGGGAAAUUCCCAUAGAUUUCUGUGAUCAAACACUGAUUUUAUUUUUUUCUCUUGACCUGCAAGGCUCAGCGGAUAAUGGGGACGGCUCUUUCCUAGGGCUUUCCUGUGAGCUCUGCUUCAAGGACAAGGGAAAAUCAGCCUCUUCACUGACUGCGCGAGCCUGCCUGACGAUGUUUCAAGGACUCUGUUAUGAGGAAAUCUUUGAAACAAGAAAGAAGCUGCAUUGCUUUAGAAAGGGAUGAUGCACUGAUCUGUAUGAGGCUUCAGGAAGCUUUAUCUCCUAUCAGCAGUUAAGCCUUUCUGACGGGGGAUAAUGUGAAAGUACAAUGCAACUUCAAAUUCUUGCUCCAUGCAGAGAUGCACACAAACUGUUCUUUGCAGUGGGCCUAUUCCUGCCCAUGGUAGAGCUGUUAGAAAGGGUGAGGUUCAAUUUGGGCUGGACCUGGUGAAAGGUUGGCAGUGUCUUUUUUAAUCUGAGAAAACAAAGACCUUUUUACUAAGGUCACACGUUGUUACUCAAAACAUUUGGGAACAGAGAGAAAAAUAAACCUAAGGGUUUUGCACAAAUUUCUUUCUGACAUUUACUGUCAGAAAGCUCAGGCCAACUGAAUGACAGAUAUACACAACUGUGUAUUGCUCCACAGUGGAGACAUCCUUCCUACUUUUUAACACUAGUUAAACCAAACAAACACUCACUCUGUCCAUGGAGAUGGUGGCCUCAAAGGAAAUCUGGCUGCCCCCUGAGCCAGGAGCCCACUGCCACCCACCCAGCCUCCAGAUCCAGCUGUGGCAUGGCAAUGAGCUGCACCGAGGUGAGGCUUUUCCUGGACGUGACACCAGGGCUGACUUUCCUGCAGAAAUUAACAUCUUUAGCAAAUCAGCAAGUUAAGGGACUGACUUACUUGCAUCUCUGAUUUAAUGUGACUUGGAUGGGAAAUCUCAGCAAUUCACUAUGAUCACACUUUCUUCGUUGCUCAGGAUAUAAAUCCCACAGUUUAAAAUAUCCAUCUUUUCCUGUAUAAAGAAGUGCGUCCCUUUACAUGUGGACACGACGCAAUUCAGGUGGCAGGACAAGAGAGUUUUAAAUGAUAAAGCCUUGGGGCUCUCUGUGCAUAACCAUGUGCUUCUCAAGCACAGUAAAUUUAAAAGCUUUCUAAACGCAAGCCACUCACUAUAAUUUCCAUCCGAGCCCCAAGCCAUUGUGGUUAUUGUGGAUGGAAACAACACCUUGGCCAUCUCAAGCAGCCCAAGCUGUAAGUGCUUCCAUUGAAGUAAUUCCACUGUGCACCAGGGAAGAUCAAACAUAACUGCUACCAUAUUUAGUGAAAUGGAUGUUAUUAAUUUAAUGUAUAACAGUGUAAACAGACAAAGAAGUUUGCUGCAUUACCAUGAUUAAGGUGAUGUCUCUAGCCAUUUCUUCCCUCUCCCUCCUGUCCACCUUCCAUAAUGCACUCUUCUCCUUCUGAAUAAUCUCAUCAGAGCCACAUCAGUGUUCAGCUCUGCUUCAGCCACAGCUGUAGACUUGGCUGCAUCAGCUGUGAAAACACUGCAGCUGUUGCGCAGAAUUUACCUAAAAGGCCUAAAUUUCACCUUAGUGCUGCUGCCCCAUGCUUGUUGAUUUGGGUAUUUGGAGGUGUGAGGUGGCACUGGGGGCUGCAGGCCACCCUAAUGCAGAAAUACUGCCACUGAAAUAUUACACAGCAAUUUCAGAGCUGAUGAAAAAGCUUACAAUGGGGAAAAUGGAAAUGUUACAGUGAUUGCAUUCCUCAACAAGAAGGGCAAUGGGAAUGAAGGCGCUGCUGUGUUCAUUUGAGGAGCACCAAUUCCUGAUUGCCAGAGCUUGACAGGAGCGCUCCCUGCAUUUGUUCAGGUGAGUUCUGGAUGAUGACAUUUGCAAAUUUAAAAUGCCAGACAUUAAAAAAAACAACAACAAAGAAAGACAAAAAAACCCAUCAGCCAAACAGAACAGCCCCAGAUUUUCUUGGUUUUAUGGCAUGCUCUUUAUAAUAAAAUUAUUUCAGCACAGUUUCUCUUCUUCACUGAGCAGGGUGACUGUGAAUUCCAAGGACUGAAGAUCUGGAUGUUUUCACGGGAGCAUCCUGCUAUUGUUGGUGCUAUUGGUGCUAUUGUUGGUUGUAUAUUGGUGUGUCCUACCAGCAUCCUCAUCUGCUGAUGCUCGAGUGCACAGCCAGCAACCAACAUUUCCUCAGUUGAGUUACACCUUCAGCCCAGGAUGAUCUCUCUUAACGUUUAGGUUAUUUUCUCACGUUUCUCUUUCCAGGUAACCUUACCUUCUGUACACACCUAAAGAAUUCCAGGUUAUUUUCACUCCUCUCCAUGAAGGAAAUUAAAGGCUUCCUGCUGCUGUAUGCUCUCACAUGCAUCUAUGUGAUAAACCUGUGUUUUUCCUGCCCAGUUCCAAAAAGCACCAUUAAAGUUAAUGCAUUUCAGGUGUGAGGGCAACCAGAGAAAGGAUUAAUUUCUGUAAUCUUUGGUCUUUUCUCAUUGUCUUUUGCAAUGUGAAACUUAAAGCCAUAACUGCAAAUAAAGAAAAUAUGUCUUUUGUUGUAAACAAA
Centrocercus urophasianus (Greater sage-grouse) is the source of this 3600-nucleotide long non-coding RNA. RefSeq lists it as uncharacterized. The transcript has 2 exons. Lineage: Eukaryota; Metazoa; Chordata; Aves; Galliformes; Phasianidae. The record is from RefSeq and is a predicted model, not a curated record.